This 120-nucleotide unclassified non-coding RNA is filed under the name soil metagenome. RNAcentral describes it as "partial internal transcribed spacer 1". The record is from RNAcentral.
AUGAUUGACCUUUGACGGUCUUGUCAACAAUCCUAACACCUGUGAACCGUUUUUUGGCCUCCGGGCCCGCUUACAUUACAAACAUUGUGUAAAGAAACGUCUUGUUAUCUUAACAAAACA